This 848-nucleotide ribosomal RNA is filed under the name gamma proteobacterium 6.1.1_I. Its description in RNAcentral is "bacterial SSU rRNA". It matches the Rfam family "Bacterial small subunit ribosomal RNA", at positions 20 to 863 of the family's 1533-position model. The record is from RNAcentral. Lineage: Bacteria; Pseudomonadati; Pseudomonadota; Gammaproteobacteria.
UGGCUCAGAUUGAACGCUGGCGGCAGGCCUAACACAUGCAAGUCGAGCGGUAGAGAGAAGCUUGCUUCUCUUGAGAGCGGCGGACGGGUGAGUAAUGCCUAGGAAUCUGCCUGGUAGUGGGGGAUAACGUUNGGAAACGGACGCUAAUACCGCAUACGUCCUACGGGAGAAAGCAGGGGACCUUCGGGCCUUGCGCUAUCAGAUGAGCCUAGGUCGGAUUAGCUAGUUGGUGGGGUAAUGGCUCACCAAGGCGACGAUCCGUAACUGGUCUGAGAGGAUGAUCAGUCACACUGGAACUGAGACACGGUCCAGACUCCUACGGGAGGCAGCAGUGGGGAAUAUUGGACAAUGGGCGAAAGCCUGAUCCAGCCAUGCCGCGUGUGUGAAGAAGGUCUUCGGAUUGUAAAGCACUUUAAGUUGGGAGGAAGGGCAGUUGCCUAAUACGUAACUGUUUUGACGUUACCGACAGAAUAAGCACCGGCUAACUCUGUGCCAGCAGCCGCGGUAAUACAGAGGGUGCAAGCGUUAAUCGGAAUUACUGGGCGUAAAGCGCGCGUAGGUGGUUUGUUAAGUUGGAUGUGAAAUCCCCGGGCUCAACCUGGGAACUGCAUUCAAAACUGACUGACUAGAGUAUGGUAGAGGGUGGUGGAAUUUCCUGUGUAGCGGUGAAAUGCGUAGAUAUAGGAAGGAACACCAGUGGCGAAGGCGACCACCUGGACUAAUACUGACACUGAGGUGCGAAAGCGUGGGGAGCAAACAGGAUUAGAUACCCUGGUAGUCCACGCCGUAAACGAUGUCAACUAGCCGUUGGAAGCCUUGAGCUUUUAGUGGCGCAGCUAACGCAUUAA